RNAcentral lists this ribosomal RNA (465 nucleotides) under uncultured bacterium. RNAcentral describes it as "partial 16S ribosomal RNA". It matches the Rfam family "Bacterial small subunit ribosomal RNA", at positions 338 to 795 of the family's 1533-position model. The record is from RNAcentral.
CCUACGGGAGGCAGCAGUAGGGAAUCUUCCACAAUGGGCGAAAGCCUGAUGGAGCAACGCCGCGUGGGUGAAGAAGGUCUUCGGAUCGUAAAACACUGUUGUUAGAGAAGAAAGUGCGUGAGAGUAACUGUUCACGUUUCGACGGUAUCUAACCAGAAAGCCACGGCUAACUACGUGCCAGCAGCCGCGGUAAUACGUAGGUGGCAAGCGUUAUCCGGAUUUACUGGGCGUAAAGGGCACGCAGGCGGUCGUUUAAGUCUGAUGUGAAAGCCUUGGGCUUAACCGGAGUAGUGCAUUGGAAACUGGGAAGCUAGAGUGCAGUAGAGGAGGGUGGAACUCCAUGUGUAGCGGUGAAAUGCGUAGAUAUGUGGAAGAACACCAGUGGCGAAGGCGGCUCUCUGGUCUGUGACUGACGCUGAGGUGCGAAAGCGUGGGUAGCAAACAGGAUUAGAUACCCGGGUAGUC